UGUGCCAGCAGCCGCGGUAAUUCCAGCUCCAAUAGCGUAUAUUAAAGUUGUUGUGGUUAAAAAGCUCGUAGUUGGAUCUCAACAGCCUUGAAGCGGUUAACUUUGUAGUUUUACUGCUUUAUAGGCUGUGCUUUUGCUGGAGGUUUAGGGGUGCUCUUGAUCGAGUGUCUCUGGAUGCCAGCAGGUUUACUUUGAAAAAAUUAGAGUGCUCAAAGCAGGCUAAAAUGCCUGAAUAUUCGUGCAUGGAAUAAUAGAAUAGGAUGUCGAUCCUAUUUUGUUGGUUUUCGGGACUCGACAUAAUGAUAAAUAGGGACAGUCGGGGGCAUUUGUAUUCAAACGACAGAGGUGAAAUUCUUGGACCGUUUGAAGACAAACUACUGCGAAAGCAUUUGCCAAGAAUGUUUUCAUUAAUCAAGAACGAAAGUUAGAGGUUCGAAGGCGAUUAGAUACCGCCCUAGUUCUAACCAUAAACGAUGCCAGCUAGCGAUCUGCCUGCGUUUUUACUGUAGACUGGGCAGGAAGCUUCCGGGAAACCAAAGCAUUUGGGUUCCAGGGGAAGUAUGGUUGCAAAGCUGAAACUUAAAGGAAUUGACGGAAGGGCACCACCAGGAGUGGAGCCUGUGGCUUAAUUUGACUCAACACGGGAAAUCUCACCAGGCCCGGACACUGGAAGGAUUGACAGAUUGAUAGCUCUUUCUUGAUUCGGUGGGUGGUGGUGCAUGGCCGUUCUUAAUUGGUGGAGUGAUUUGUCUGGUUAAUUCCGAUAACGAACGAGACUCUGUCCUGCUAAAUAGUUGCGCGUUCUUUUCAAGAGCCGUAAUCUUCUUAGAGGGACUAUCGCUGUUUAAGCGGUGGAAGUUUGAGGCAAUAACAGGUCUG
This 879-nucleotide ribosomal RNA is filed under the name uncultured eukaryote. Its description in RNAcentral is "bacterial SSU rRNA". It matches the Rfam family "Eukaryotic small subunit ribosomal RNA", at positions 563 to 1464 of the family's 1831-position model. The record is from RNAcentral.